This is a long non-coding RNA of Acomys russatus (golden spiny mouse), 405 nucleotides long. RefSeq lists it as uncharacterized. The record is from RefSeq and is a predicted model, not a curated record. The transcript has 4 exons. Lineage: Eukaryota; Metazoa; Chordata; Mammalia; Rodentia; Muridae.
GUUCUUUUGAACCAGGGGCUGGCCUCAAACUUGAUGUAUAGUCAAAGCUGACCUUGAACUCUGAUUCUCCUCCCUCAACUUCAUCAGGAAUUGGGUAUGGGUGUAAGCCCGCACCCCUGGUUCCUGUCAGGGGUUAGGUAUGGGUGUAAGCCCGCACCCCUGGUUCCUGUCAGGGGUUAGGUAUGGGUGUAAGCCCGCACCCCUAGUUCCUGUCAGGGGUUAGGUAUGGGUGUAAGCCCGCACCCCUAGUUCCUGUCAGGGGUUAGGUAUGGGUGUAAGCCCGCACCCCUGGUUCCUGUCAGGGGUUAGGUAUGGGUGUAAGCCCGCACCCCUAGUUCCUGUCAGGGGUUAGGCCCACCCCUGGCUUUUGAGAGGCCCUAGUGAAAGAACAAAGGGAAUGCUGGC